This 1423-nucleotide ribosomal RNA is filed under the name uncultured bacterium. RNAcentral describes it as "16S ribosomal RNA". It matches the Rfam family "Bacterial small subunit ribosomal RNA". The record is from RNAcentral.
UAACACGUANACAACCUGCCAUCGAGUGGGGGACAACAGUGGGAAACCGCUGCUAAUACCGCAUGUGGUUGCCGUUGGCAUCAACGGCAUACUAAAGGAUUUAUUCGCUCGAUGAUGGGUCUGCGGCCUAUCAGGUAGUUGGUGGGGUAACGGCCUACCAAGCCGACGACGGGUAGCUGGUCUGAGAGGAUGAUCAGCCGGACGGGGACUGAGACACGGCCCCGACUCCUCCGGGAGGCAGCAAUGAGGGAUAUUGCACAAUGGGCGAAAGCCUGAUGCAGCGACGCCGCGUGGGUAGGAAGUUCUUCGGAAUGUAAAGCCCUUUUAACCGGGACGAUACCAGACGGUACCGGUUGAAUAAGCUCCGGCUAACUACGUGCCAGCAGCCGCGGUAAUACGUAGGGAGCAAGCUGUUAUCCGGAUUUACUGGGCGUCAAGCGCGCGUAGGCGGACGCUUAAGUGUGGCCUGAAAGCCCUCGGCUCAACCGGGGAAAGUGGUCUGCAAACCUGGCGUCUUGAGGGGGAUAGAGGAGAGUGGAAUUCCUGGUGUACCGGGUAAAUGCGUAAAGAUCAGGAGGAACACCCGUGGCGAAGGCGGUCUCCUGGGUUCCGGCCUGGACGCCUUAGGCGCGAAAACGUGGGGAGCGAACGGGAUUACAUACCCCCGGUAGUUCACCCCGUAUACGAUUGUUACCAGGUUUUGUGUGUUGUCUACCCCACACUUUCCGCGCCUUACCCAUUAGGUACCCCGCCUGGGGAGUACGGCCGCAAGGUUGAAACUCAAAGGAAUUGACGGGGGCCCGCACAAGCGGUGGAGCAUGUGGAUUAAUACGUCACUAACCGUAGAACCUUACCCAGGCUUGACAUCCCGGGAAUCCCCUUGAAAGGGGGGAGUGCCGCGCCCAAAGCGGAGCCCGGAGACAGGUGUUGCAUGGCUGUCGUCAGCUCGUGUCGUGAGAUGUUGGGUUAAGUCCCGCAACGAGCGCAACCCUCAUCGUAUGUUGCCAGCGUUCGCAAAAAGUCGGGCACUCUUACGAAACUGCCCGGGUAACCGGGAGGAAGGUGGGGACGACGUCAAGUCAGCAUGGCCCUUACGCCUGGGGCUUCACACAUGCUACAAUGGCCGGUCCAAAGGGUCCCGAGACCGUGAGGUGGAGGCAAUCCCAAAAAGCCGGUCACAGUUCGGAUCGCAGGCUGCAACUCGCCUGCGUGAAGUCGGAAUCGCUAGUAACCGCCGGUCAGCUAAACGGCGGUGAAUACGUUCCCGGGCCUUGUACACACCGCCCGUCACGUCACCUGAGUCUGCGGCACCCGAAGCACGUGGCUUAACCCGCAAGGGAGAGAGCGUGCGAAGGUGUGGCCGGUAAGGGGGACGAAGUCGUACAAGGUAGCCGUAGGGGAACCUGCGGCUGGAUCACCUCCU